This 254-nucleotide ribosomal RNA is filed under the name uncultured bacterium. RNAcentral describes it as "partial 16S ribosomal RNA". It matches the Rfam family "Bacterial small subunit ribosomal RNA", at positions 524 to 776 of the family's 1533-position model. The record is from RNAcentral.
UACGGGGGGAGCAAGCGUUGUUCGGAUUUACUGGGCGUAAAGGGCGCGUAGGCGGCCAGCACAAGUCAGUUGUGAAAUCUCCGAGCUUAACUCGGAAAGGUCAACUGAUACUGUGCGGCUAGAGUGCGGAAGGGGCAACUGGAAUUCUUGGUGUAGCGGUGGAAUGCGUAGAUAUCAAGAGGAACACCUGCGGCGAAGGCGGGUUGCUGGGCCGACACUGACGCUGAGGCGCGAAAGCUAGGGGAGCGAACGGG